UACGGGAGGCAGCAGUGGGGAAUAUUGCACAAUGGGCGCAAGCCUGAUGCAGCCAUGCCGCGUGUAUGAAGAAGGCCUUCGGGUUGUAAAGUACUUUCAGUCGUGAGGAAGGUGUUAAGGUUAAUAACCUUAGCAAUUGACGUUAGCGACAGAAGAAGCGCCGGCUUACUCCGUGCCAGCAGCCGCGGUAAUACGGAGGGUGCGAGCGUUAAUCGGAAUUACUGGGCGUAAAGGGCACGCAGGCGGUUAAUUAAGUUGGAUGUGAAAUCCCCGGGCUUAACCUGGGAAUGGCAUUCAAGACUGGUUAGCUAGAGUCUUGUAGAGGGGGUAGAAUUCCAUGUGUAGCGGUGAAAUGCGUAGAGAUGUGGAGGAAUACCGGUGGCGAAGGCGGCCCCUGGACAAAGACUGACGCUCAUGUGCGAAAGCGUGGGGAGCAAACAGGGAUUAGAUACC
This 453-nucleotide ribosomal RNA is filed under the name uncultured bacterium. RNAcentral describes it as "bacterial SSU rRNA". It matches the Rfam family "Bacterial small subunit ribosomal RNA", at positions 340 to 786 of the family's 1533-position model. The record is from RNAcentral.